Felis catus (domestic cat) is the source of this 1950-nucleotide long non-coding RNA. RefSeq lists it as uncharacterized. The record is from RefSeq and is a predicted model, not a curated record. NCBI's taxonomy places the organism in Eukaryota, Metazoa, Chordata, Mammalia, Carnivora, Felidae. The transcript is spliced from 3 exons.
UUGUGAGGAGAGCUCAGCUUGUCAUUGCUGGCUUGAAAAAUGAAGGAAACUAUAAACCAAGGAAAGCAGGCUUUCCUUAGAUGAUGGAGAAGGCAAGAAAAGGAAUUCUCAUUUAGAGCCUCCAGAAGGAGGGGAGUUCUGCCAGCAUCUUGAUUUCACGGGAGGUUUCUGACCUACGGGACUUCAAGGCUCCAUGCUCAGCUCAGAGCUUGACAUGGCUCGUGAGGCAGGGUUCCAUCUUACAACCCAGGAUCAUGACAUGAGCCAAAAUCAAGAAUGGGACACUCAGCUAACUGAACCACCCAGGUGACCCAAGAAAAUGAAGAUUCUUAGACUCCAAAGUGGGACCAUGACAAGGAGACGUGUGGUCGGUCUAUGGCAAGCUGUUAAUCUCCGUGUAGCUACUGCUGUUGCGGGUCUGUUACUAAGCAUCUGCACACGGGCCUGGGUGCUUCAAUUUGCAAGCACACGCAAGUCAAGACGCAAUCAAUCAUUUUAAAGUUGCAACAGUGUUUUACUUACAUAGACAGUGAAAGGCAAAACAGCCCAAAGCAGGAACUCCCUUGGCUCCACACACCAGCAAGGACAACAGUGAAACAAAAGGAGCCACAUGACUGCAGUCUACAAAGUAUGCUACUCUGAUUGCCUACCUAGUCCAAGUCCUUGGGGAUUUGUGCCUGGGUCCUGAGGAGAGGGUUCUGCAGUGAAAGCCUGAAGUGCUGUUACCACCAAAAUCUCUCUAAGAAAUGAAAGUAAAAGACAAACCUACUUUGUGAAGAUUUGAUAAUCUACAGAAGGAUGGUAUUCCCCUAAAGCCAGCAGCAAGAAGGGGAGGGAGAAAAUGGUGAAUAUCAGAGGCAGGCAGAGGAAAUUGAUUCAAUUUAACAUUAGUGCCUGGAGACUUUCUGAACUAAUUUGGAAGGAUGUCAGCACCGCUAGCCCCCUCAAUUGUGAUGGUUGAUAUAAGUAGAGAGUUUUAUUGCUAUUAUAUUGUGGCUUCUGUAUCCUGAGACUUGUGUGUUAGAGAAAUUAUCCAUGCUUUUGUUUUUCAAAGUCCAGAGUGCUAACCAUUACACAAUGGGACCCCAUGCUUUUAUUUUUCUAAAAGAAUAGCUUAGGACUUAAAAUGUUAAACAUUGAAAGUAGCAUAUGAAAGCUUAAGUAGACAUUUUUACUCAAUGUUUACACCAUGUAAAUUUAUGAUUAUUAAUUAGUAGAUAAAAAUGAAGGGCAUAGUUGGUGAGCACGGGUACAACAUGUAAAUGUCUGUGAUGUAAGUGGGUGCCAACACAGCCUUUCAAUUUGAACAACAAGCUGUGUAAAUUAAGCAUAAAGUUUAGGGUUCAAACCAAAUAACUGCCUCAAAGUUAAUUAGCGUGAAUUUAACACAGAGCUGGACUUGAAAAGAAUUUUAGGCAUUAGUACAUAGAUUUUGUAGCAAUAGCUUUAGCACCAUCUAAUUGGCUAUCCCACUUCAACUAAAGAUUGACCUUAUUUUCUACAUCCAUCCCCACUCCUUGUGCUGAGAGACUGAAUGUACAACCAGACAAUACCCAGCCCAUAUACUAAAAUAGAACGUUGACCCAAGCCUGCAGCACUCAGCAGGGGAAGCCAACCUACAACCUCUGGAGCAAUUGACCCCAAAUGGUCAGGACAUGAUGGAUAACUGACAGCUUCCCUAAUCUUUUCUCUUACUUCCAACUAACCAGGAAAGCCAAGUGUACUCCCCUAAAGAAUCAUACAGGGUGUCUCACUUCUAGUUAGCCUGUCUCCAGCUUCUGCAUGUCAACAGCCUCCACUCACGGAAUAUCUGAAGCUUUCUCUUUUGUUCACUGUAUAGCUUUUACGCUCCUCGGACUGCCUGUCUUUGAGUCUCAGCUUGUAAAACCAAGUGAUGUUGGCUGCCUGCCUUGCUACAGCAAGCUCUAAAUAAACAGCCUCUGCUUAUUC